This 1499-nucleotide ribosomal RNA is filed under the name Weissella confusa. RNAcentral's name for it is "bacterial SSU rRNA". It matches the Rfam family "Bacterial small subunit ribosomal RNA". The record is from RNAcentral. Lineage: Bacteria; Bacillati; Bacillota; Bacilli; Lactobacillales; Lactobacillaceae.
GAUGAACGCUGGCGGCGUGCCUAAUACAUGCAAGUCGAACGCUUUGUGGUUCAACUGAUUUGAAGAGCUUGCUCAGAUAUGACGAUGAACAUUGCAAAGAGUGGCGAACGGGUGAGUAACACGUGGGAAACCUACCUCUUAGCAGGGGAUAACAUUUGGAAACAGAUGCUAAUACCGUAUAACAAUGACAACCGCAUGGUUGUUAUUUAAAAGAUGGUUCUGCUAUCACUAAGAGAUGGUCCCGCGGUGCAUUAGCUAGUUGGUAAGGUAAUGGCUUACCAAGGCGAUGAUGCAUAGCCGAGUUGAGAGACUGAUCGGCCACAAUGGGACUGAGACACGGCCCAUACUCCUACGGGAGGCAGCAGUAGGGAAUCUUCCACAAUGGGCGAAAGCCUGAUGGAGCAACGCCGCGUGUGUGAUGAAGGGUUUCGGCUCGUAAAACACUGUUGUAAGAGAAGAAUGACAUUGAGAGUAACUGUUCAAUGUGUGACGGUAUCUUACCAGAAAGGAACGGCUAAAUACGUGCCAGCAGCCGCGGUAAUACGUAUGUUCCAAGCGUUAUCCGGAUUUAUUGGGCGUAAAGCGAGCGCAGACGGUUAUUUAAGUCUGAAGUGAAAGCCCUCAGCUCAACUGAGGAAUUGCUUUGGAAACUGGAUGACUUGAGUGCAGUAGAGGAAAGUGGAACUCCAUGUGUAGCGGUGAAAUGCGUAGAUAUAUGGAAGAACACCAGUGGCGAAGGCGGCUUUCUGGACUGUAACUGACGUUGAGGCUCGAAAGUGUGGGUAGCAAACAGGAUUAGAUACCCUGGUAGUCCACACCGUAAACGAUGAGUGCUAGGUGUUUGAGGGUUUCCGCCCUUAAGUGCCGCAGCUAACGCAUUAAGCACUCCGCCUGGGGAGUACGACCGCAAGGUUGAAACUCAAAGGAAUUGACGGGGACCCGCACAAGCGGUGGAGCAUGUGGUUUAAUUCGAAGCAACGCGAAGAACCUUACCAGGUCUUGACAUCCCUUGACAACUCCAGAGAUGGAGCGUUCCCUUCGGGGACAAGGUGACAGGUGGUGCAUGGUUGUCGUCAGCUCGUGUCGUGAGAUGUUGGGUUAAGUCCCGCAACGAGCGCAACCCUUAUUACUAGUUGCCAGCAUUCAGUUGGGCACUCUAGUGAGACUGCCGGUGACAAACCGGAGGAAGGUGGGGAUGACGUCAAAUCAUCAUGCCCCUUAUGACCUGGGCUACACACGUGCUACAAUGGCGUAUACAACGAGUUGCCAACACGCGAGGGUGAGCUAAUCUCUUAAAGUACGUCUCAGUUCGGAUUGUAGGCUGCAACUCGCCUACAUGAAGUCGGAAUCGCUAGUAAUCGCGGAUCAGCACGCCGCGGUGAAUACGUUCCCGGGUCUUGUACACACCGCCCGUCACACCAUGAGAGUUUGUAACACCCAAAGCCGGUGGGGUAACCUUCGGGAGCCAGCCGUCUAAGGUGGGACAGAUGAUUAGGGUG